UCGGGGCCUGUUAUAUCUGACUAUGCGGGAUGGGCUUCGCUCAUUGUUGAAGGCCGUACGGUGACCUAUAGUUGUUAAUGUCUGUGUCAUUUUGGUCUCUUGUGGACAGUUGUGUCAUUGGCAAUCUUACCACAUCUUCUUUUUUUUAUAUGUAUUUGCUUUUAACUAUCAAUCCUCAGUUUACAAAUCGAUCCACAGCGGUCAUAUAGACCCUCUCUAUUUAAUAAAAUAUGUGGCCGCCGUGAAUAGUAAACUUGAAAAUACUAGCAGAUAGCAAAUACACUUUAUUCAUAGUCUUU
RNAcentral lists this long non-coding RNA (299 nucleotides) under Mytilus galloprovincialis (Mediterranean mussel). Lineage: Eukaryota; Metazoa; Mollusca; Bivalvia; Mytilida; Mytilidae. The record is from RNAcentral.